CUUUAGCCCCGUUGGAAGCAAAUAUCCUUUUAUUCUGGGGUUCAGAAUAAAAGAUAUUUGUGUACAGCGGGAACUAUU
This 78-nucleotide small RNA is filed under the name Flavobacterium phragmitis. RNAcentral describes it as "Flavo-1 RNA". It matches the Rfam family "Flavo-1 RNA". Lineage: Bacteria; Pseudomonadati; Bacteroidota; Flavobacteriia; Flavobacteriales; Flavobacteriaceae. The record is from RNAcentral.